UACGUAGGGGGCAAGCGUUGUCCGGAUUUAUUGGGCGUAAAGAGCGUGUAGGCGGCUAGAUAGGUCCGUUGUGAAAACUCGAGGCUCAACCUCGAGACGUCGAUGGAAACCAUCUGGCUAGAGUCCGGAAGAGGAGAGUGGAAUUCCUGGUGUAGCGGUGAAAUGCGCAGAUAUCAGGAAGAACACCCGUGGCGAAGGCGGCUCUCUGGUACGUGACUGACGCUGAGGCUCGAAAGCGUGGGGAGCAAACAGG
Molecule: ribosomal RNA, 253 nt
Filed under: uncultured bacterium
Lineage: Bacteria
Description: partial 16S ribosomal RNA
Rfam family: Bacterial small subunit ribosomal RNA
Source: RNAcentral